Hordeum vulgare subsp. vulgare (domesticated barley) is the source of this 3339-nucleotide long non-coding RNA. RefSeq lists it as uncharacterized. The record is from RefSeq and is a predicted model, not a curated record. NCBI's taxonomy places the organism in Eukaryota, Viridiplantae, Streptophyta, Magnoliopsida, Poales, Poaceae. The transcript is spliced from 4 exons.
AACAGACGGAAUGAGAGAGAGGGAGACACAUGAAAAAGGAAGCCCACGAUUCCCCUCUUCUCUGCCAGAUCACCACCACCUCUUCCUCCACCUCGCCGCCGGAUCUCCCCCUCCCCUCCUCCCACCUCGCAGCUCUGGCGGCUGCCGGAUCCACCGCAUCCCCCAACCUCGAGGUCCCCAUCAAACCACGACGCCCUCCGAUCCGACUCAAUCCGGUGCUUGCGGCCACCCACGACCCUCCCCCUAGGGUUUCGGGUGCCGGCUCCGGUGCCGAUGGCCAUGGCAUCCUCCUCUCAUUCGGGAGGAACUAGCUGUGUGUGAACUCCACCAUGACGCUGCUGAUGGUGAUGACGUGAUGUGCCGCGGCGUCGACGAGGAUGUGCUAAGGCGGGAAGUUGAAAGGGAAUACAUGACCAUGAAACUCGAUGGCACGGUGCUGGGGGUGGAAGACAUGGCCAACACGGCGCUGUAUGUGGAGUCAGACGAGGCUAGGUAUGUGACCGUGACUUGGACUUCAAAUUACCCCAUGAGUUAAGGCUGAACCUCCUACGUACCUAUGUGUUGGGUAACCACUACUAAACAUCUGAAUUUAUCCAAUGCUACCUCACCCAAAAAGCAUCAAGAUAAUUGACCAACCUAGAACUAUGGAUUUAGUAGCCUCUUUGUUCUGUAGAGUUUUUUUAUUAUCUAUGUCUUGCCUGCUACUUAGAUUUAAUGGUAUGAUAGGGAAGGAUGCAUAAACAGACAACCCCUACAUGCACAACACCAGUCACUGCCUUGAACACACGUCCAGAAUUAAUGCCAAAGAUCGAUAAAUUUGACUCUUGAAUCAUAUGUUCUGAAACAACAGCCAAUUAUGUUGCAGGGAUAUGUCGUAGAAGUGUCGUAUCGGUGCAUGAUACUGCACUAGGGGUGAUAUGCCGGGAUACGCGCGAGAUACGCUUAUCCAUCGUAGCACACUUUAUCAAAUUAAAAUAAAGAAAAAAAUAAGAGAAUACGACUAGGACACGCAGGGAUACAUCAAGGAUAUGUAAGGGCAUGUUAACACUCGAUCUCCAGCCCAUCAGAAGGCCUACUCGAUGGAUAGAUAAACCUAAUCCCUAGAAUCCUUCCUCUCGCUGUAAUCUUGAAGUUGACAAAUCGCAAGACUAGUUUCAGCGCAUCUCCAGACUCCCUUACGUUGCCGCCGCCGACACCUCACAACGCAGUUCAUCUCCAUUCUCUAAGUCUUCUUCAUCCAGAAUCUGUACUGUACGCAAGUAAGCUUCGAUCCAUUGCUUCAAGAUAUCUAUUUUUAAGCAUGUUAUGGAUUAGGAUUUAAGGGAUAAUGAAGUGCAUAUAUUUAUCUUAAUGUUAGGGAAUGUCGUGUAGGUCGAACAACUAAUCCUAUGUUGCCCGAUCUGGGAGUGGGUAUGGUAUAGUAAUGUCGUCCAUGAUCUGGGAGUGGGUAUAAGGUUUUCCCUGUAGUGUUCUGAGGAACACAAGGACUGCAUCAAGGAGUUGGCACAUGAAAAUUAAAAAUACAGCAACUUUUUUAUAUCCAUGAUCAGGGAGCUCUCAAACUGCACAGAGUCAAGAUUAAUGCUAUGCUCCCAUCAAUGAUUCCAGCGGAAGAUAUUUGUAACCUCAAGUGUUAUACAAGGUUACUAUCGCAUUGCUGAAUUUAGAGCAGAACACAACCACCAGCCAGCACCCCCCUCUACCAUGCAUAUGCUGAGAUCUCAGAGGGUGGUUACUGAGGUAGAAAGAACUGAAUGCGACUCCUCAGAAGAUUCCACAACACCGUCAAGUUUUUCUGGUGUCUCUUUAGUACAGCAGGCAGGAGCUUUUAGAAAUGUUAAAUUCUCCCUGCAGAUUACAGAAGUUCCCUUUGUUCAAAGCGUAUGAACAAUAUGCAACCUGGUGAUGCAGGAGGUGUUGUGAAGUACCUACAGAGCAUGCAGUUAAACAAUUCGUCUUUCUUUUAUGCUGUCCAGCUCGACGAGGAUGACAAACUGACCAAUAUUUUCUGGGCCGAUUCCAAAUCUAGAGUUGAUUUCAGCUACUUCAGUGACGUGGUUUGUUUGGACACACCUACAAGAUAAAUGCACAUGGAAGGCCAUUAACUCUCUUCCUUGGAGUGAAUCAUCACAAGCAAAUUUCCAUAUUUGGCGCUGCUUUGCUUUAUGAUGAAUCAGUGGAAUCGUUCAAGUGGUUGUUUGACAUGUUCAAGAUCGCUACAGAUGGAAAGCAGCCAAAAACAAUCUUGACAGAUCAAUCAAUUGCAGCAAGUGCUGCCAUAAGCGCAGUAUGGCCAAGUACAAUUCACUGUCUUUGCCCAUGGCAAGUGUACCAAAAUACUGUCAAACACCUUAAUCACAUCUUCCAAGGCGCUAAAACAUUUGCAAAGGAUUUCAGCAGAUGUGUCUAUGAUUAUGAGGAUGAAGAGGGUUUCUUGGUAGGAUGGAGAACCAUGCUAGAGAAGUAUGAUCUAAGAAACAAUGAAUGGCUUCAUGAGUUCUUCAAAGAUCGAGAUAAAUGGGCAUCAGCGUACAAUCAACAUGUAUUCACCGCAGAUAUAAAAAGUUCAUUGCAGUUAGAAAGUGUUAGCAAUGUCUUGAGAAAGUACCUGAGUCCACAGUUUGAUUUCUUGUCUUUCUUCAAGCACUAUGAAAGAGUUUUGGACGAGUCUUGUCUUGUCUUUUGGCAAUGUUUAUGAAACGUGAAUGAAGUAAGAUGCCAGAAACCAAGUGAAGAAAUUGAUAGAUAUUUUAUUGGCCUAGCUGUUAAAAACUAUAUGUAAAAAAUAUCUUUCUAUAAUUUUAGUAUUAGCAAACUAAUUCUGAUGAUAGUAGUAGAUUCGUAUAAGCCAUUCCAUUGGGUAAGGAUUCAUUCCUUACAGCUGGCUUAUACUUAGGUGCUAAUUAUAGUUUUUGUGUCAAUCCAUUCUCAUUCAUUGUAUACUUUUAAUGAUGACAGAGGUUUUUUAAUAAAUUCUUAGUUGCUACUCAUAUAUGCAGGCCAGCUUCAAGGCUAUGAAGCGAAAGACCAAACAAAGAUUCAGAAGAUAUAUGGAUGAGGCAAUUAUACUUCAAUGAUGGUGAUGGUGUUCUGGUUCAUGAUGAUGAUGACAGAUGCUUUUAGUUUUAGUUAAGUUAGUAGGGAUUUUGUUCCUCUUGGAUCAUGUUGCUCGAUUAAGUUUUUGUUAAGUUGUAGGGAUGUUGAUGGAUGGUUUCAAUUUAAGUUUUGUUGUCAAGAGAAUAUUUACAUUAUGCAUCACAUUUGGAUGAUGUUCCUCCUGUAAUAUCCCCUAUUGUAAUCCAAAAGUUUAUCCAAUAUAUGAUUUCUCUCUUUCGUACA